Molecule: transfer RNA, 76 nt
Filed under: bacterium
Lineage: Bacteria
Also listed under: 3 other names
Description: tRNA-Thr
Rfam family: tRNA
About the family: Transfer RNA (tRNA) molecules are approximately 80 nucleotides in length.
Source: RNAcentral
GCUGGCUUAGCUCAGUUGGUAGAGCAGCUGAUUUGUAAUCAGCAGGUCGGGGGUUCGAAUCCGUCAGCCAGCUCCA